This 320-nucleotide small nuclear RNA is filed under the name Propithecus coquereli (Coquerel's sifaka). RNAcentral describes it as "7SK RNA (ENSPCOG00000011590.1)". It matches the Rfam family "7SK RNA". Rfam says of the family: 7SK was discovered as an abundant small nuclear RNA in the mid-70s but a possible function has only recently been suggested. Two independent studies have found that 7SK RNA binds the CDK9/cyclin T complex (known as elongation factor P-TEFb). P-TEFb activates transcription by phosphorylating the C-terminal domain of RNA polymerase II. The record is from Rfam by way of RNAcentral. Lineage: Eukaryota; Metazoa; Chordata; Mammalia; Primates; Indriidae.
GGAUGUGAGGGUGAUCUGGCUGCGACAUCUGUCACCCCAUUGAUCGCCAGGGUUGAUUCGGCCGAUCUGGCUGGGUAGGCCCGUGUCCCCUUCCUCCUUCACCGCUCCAUGUGCGUCCCUCCCGAAGCUGUGCACUGGUGAAAGAGGACGACCUUCCCCGCUAAAGGACCCGGUCAAGGGUAUACCAGUUCCUGCACUCCCCUGCUAGAACCUCCAAACAAGCUCUCGAAUUAUGUGGAUUCAUCAUCCCCUCUCCAGGGAGUAGAGUAGAAGAAAAGAUUAAAAAAAAGAAAAUAAUGCUUGGGUCCUCAUAUUUUUUU